This 478-nucleotide ribosomal RNA is filed under the name uncultured amoeba. RNAcentral's name for it is "partial small subunit ribosomal RNA". The stretch from base 110 to 478 matches the Rfam family "Eukaryotic small subunit ribosomal RNA", at positions 627 to 983 of the family's 1831-position model. The record is from RNAcentral.
UACGGUAUAGCAAAAAAAUUACUGUGGGCGCGGUUUCGACUUAGAAUUAUUACAUUUGCUUUACUUGAUUCCCCAAUGCUUGCUUAAUUCUUAUCUACUGGAUACUCUACUCUGUACUUAAUUGUAUGGAGUAUCGCCUAGCCAGCGGAGUUGUGGUUUAUUAACUCCUGUCUUUGCACCAGGGAGUAAAAUUCUGACAAAUGAUUAUGGGGUCAAGUUAAUUAAUCAUAGUGGGGUGCCAUUUAAUUUACUUUGAGUAAAUUAAAGUGUUCAAAGCAUCCUCUUGGGGCUUUGAAUAAUUUAGCAUGGGAUAAUGAAAUAAGAUUGGAUUCCUAUUUGUUGGUUUAAUGAAUCCAAUAAUGAUUAAGAGGGACAGUUGGGGGCGCUCAUAUUAAGUGGUUAGCGGUGAAAUGUGUUGACCCACAUAACACGAACUAAAGCGAAAACAUUUGCCAAGGAUGUUUUCAUAAAUCAAGAG